GGAGGUAGUAGGUCGAAAGACCAUUCUGCCUCC
Molecule: unclassified non-coding RNA, 33 nt
Filed under: synthetic construct
Source: RNAcentral